RNAcentral lists this ribosomal RNA (450 nucleotides) under uncultured Glomeromycotina. RNAcentral's name for it is "SSU rRNA". It matches the Rfam family "Eukaryotic small subunit ribosomal RNA", at positions 569 to 1023 of the family's 1831-position model. Lineage: Eukaryota; Fungi; Glomeromycota. The record is from RNAcentral.
AGCGGCCGCGGUAAUUCCAGCUCCAAUAGCGUAUAUUAAAGUUGUUGCAGUUAAAAAGCUCGUAGUUGAAUUUCGGGGUCAGUAGGUUGGUCGUGCCACCGGUACGUACUGGUCUCACUGAUUCCUCCUUCCUGAUGAGCUGUAAUGCCAUUAAUUUGGUGUUGCAGGGAAUCUGGACUGUUACUUUGAAAAAAUUAGAGUGUUUAAAGCAGGCUAACGCUUGAAUACAUUAGCAUGGAAUAAUGAAAUAGGACGUUCGAUCCUAUUUUGUUGGUUUCUAGGAUUGACGUAAUGAUUAAUAGGGAUAGUUGGGGGCAUUAGUAUUCAAUUGUCAGAGGUGAAAUUCUUGGAUUUAUUGAAGACUAACUACUGCGAAAGCAUUUGCCAAGGAUGUUUUCAUUAAUCAAGAACGAAAGUUAGGGGAUCGAAGACGAUCAGAUACCGUCGUAG